RNAcentral lists this transfer RNA (73 nucleotides) under Acidobacteriota bacterium. Its description in RNAcentral is "tRNA-OTHER". It matches the Rfam family "tRNA". Rfam says of the family: Transfer RNA (tRNA) molecules are approximately 80 nucleotides in length. Their secondary structure includes four short double-helical elements and three loops (D, anti-codon, and T loops). Further hydrogen bonds mediate the characteristic L-shaped molecular structure. tRNAs have two regions of fundamental functional importance: the anti-codon, which is responsible for specific mRNA codon recognition, and the 3' end, to which the tRNAs corresponding amino acid is attached (by aminoacyl-tRNA synthetases). tRNAs cope with the degeneracy of the genetic code in two manners: having more than one tRNA (with a specific anti-codon) for a particular amino acid; and 'wobble' base-pairing, i.e. permitting non-standard base-pairing at the 3rd anti-codon position. Lineage: Bacteria; Pseudomonadati; Acidobacteriota. The record is from RNAcentral.
GGGGACGUAAUUUAACUGGCAAAAUAACUGAAUUCCGACCUAGUUAAUGCGGGUUCGAUUCCCGUCGUCUCCA